UCUGGUGUCAGCCGCCGCGGUAAAACCAGCACCUCAAGUGGUCAGGAUGAUUAUUGGGCCUAAAGCAUCCGUAGCCUGCUUUGUUAGUUUUCGGUUAAAUCCAUACGCUCAACGUAUGGGCUGCCGGGAAUACUGCAAAGAUAGGGAGUGGGAGAGGUAGACGGUACUCGGUAGGAAGGGGUAAAAUCCUUUGAUCUAUUGAUGACCACCUGUGGCGAAGGCGGUCUACCAGAACACGUCCGACGGUGAGGGAUGAAAGCUGGGGGAGCAAACCGGAUUAGAUACCCGGGUAGUCCCAGCUGUAAACUAUGCAAACUCGGUGAUGCAUUGGCUUGAUGCCAAUGCAGUGCCGCAGGGAAGCCGUUAAGUUUGCCGCCUGGGAAGUACGUACGCAAGUAUGAAACUUAAAGGAAUUGGCGGGGGAGCACCACAAGGGGUGAAGCCUGCGGUUCAAUUGGAGUCAACGCCAGAAAUCUUACCCGGAGAGACAGCAGAAUGAAGGUCAAGCUGAAGACUUUACCAGACAAGCU
RNAcentral lists this ribosomal RNA (530 nucleotides) under uncultured Nitrososphaerota archaeon. RNAcentral describes it as "bacterial SSU rRNA". It matches the Rfam family "Archaeal small subunit ribosomal RNA", at positions 451 to 981 of the family's 1478-position model. The record is from RNAcentral. Lineage: Archaea; Thermoproteati; Nitrososphaerota.